RNAcentral lists this transfer RNA (87 nucleotides) under Actinoplanes teichomyceticus. RNAcentral describes it as "tRNA-Ala". The record is from RNAcentral. Lineage: Bacteria; Bacillati; Actinomycetota; Actinomycetes; Micromonosporales; Micromonosporaceae.
GGCCUGGCCUACUGGGCGGCACGGUGGCAGCCGCUCGCGCCGGCCGGGCGUGGACCGUACCCGCGCUCGGACCCGCGGGCCGCGCUG